This 254-nucleotide ribosomal RNA is filed under the name uncultured bacterium. Its description in RNAcentral is "partial 16S ribosomal RNA". It matches the Rfam family "Bacterial small subunit ribosomal RNA", at positions 524 to 776 of the family's 1533-position model. The record is from RNAcentral.
UACGGGGGGAGCAAGCGUUGUUCGGAUUUACUGGGCGUAAAGGGCGCGUAGGCGGUCAGCACAAGUCAGUUGUGAAAUCUCCGGGCUUAACUCGGAAAGGUCAACUGAUACUGUGCGACUAGAGUGCAGAAGGGGCAACUGGAAUUCUCGGUGUAGCGGUGAAAUGCGUAGAUAUCGGGAGGAACGCCAGUGGCGAAGGCGGGUCUCUGGACAGUUCCUGACGCUGAGGCACGAAGGCCAGGGGAGCAAACGGG